CCUACGGGUGGCAGCAGUGGGGAAUAUUGGGCAAUGGGCGAAAGCCUGACCCAGCAACGCCGCGUGAAGGAAGAAGGCUUUCGGGUUGUAAACUUCUUUUGACAGGGAAGAGCAGAAGACUGUACCUCUUGAAUAAGCCAUGGCUAACUACGUGCCAGCAGCCGCGGGCAUACGUAGGUGGGAAGUGUUGUCCGGAUUUACUGGGUGUAACGGGCGUGCAGCCGGGAAGACAAGUCAGAUGUGAAAUCCCGCGGCUCAACCGCGGAACUGCAUUUGAAACUGUUGUUCUUGAGUACCGGAGAGGUCGUCGGAAUUCGUUGUGUAGCGGUGAAAUGCGUAGAUAUAAGGAAGAACACCGGUGGCGAAGGCGGAUGACUGGACGGCAACUGACGGUGAGGCGCGAAAGCGUGGGGAGCAAACAGGAUUAGAUACCCCGGUAGUC
This 442-nucleotide ribosomal RNA is filed under the name uncultured bacterium. RNAcentral describes it as "partial 16S ribosomal RNA". It matches the Rfam family "Bacterial small subunit ribosomal RNA", at positions 338 to 795 of the family's 1533-position model. The record is from RNAcentral.